AUUUCUAUAUACUUCAACAUGCAUAAAUCAUCUAUAACAUGUGUAAAAGAGGAUUGAACACAUAUUUUCCUGUCCACUCAUCUUCUUUUCGGCUAGGGGUUGAAAUUGCACAAAGAAUGGUUUGCUUGUUCCAACAACUACUCCAUGUUACUUAGGACCUUCAAAUUAGUAGAAAGGCUAGAAGAAAUAAUUUUUUGAUCAAUCUUUCAAGGGAUGGAUUUUUUUGGGGAUAUGGCCGAAUCCCUUUCCUCUUCUUUCUCCUUUUUUUUUUUUUUUCUUCAAGGUUCUAGAGUUGGAAAAUGAAUGAAUGAUAUGUCUUGUUUGCCCCCACUUAUCUAUAUAUAUAGUUAUUGUAGGCAUGUGAGGGGCAAAUGCCCCAUUUCCAGAAUUUUCUUAAAAAUUCUAGCAAAGAUGACUUAUUUGUCUUUAUUUUCUUUUUCUUUCUUUUCUUUUUUCUCACAUGGCCAAUAUGGCCCUUUUUGAACUUUCAAGAAACUUAUGUGAAAUUCUCGUUUUGCCCCUCGACUUUCCUCAAUAUUACCAUUUUGCCUCUAGCCUUCCAUAUUAUUUCCAUGACCCAUUUUGCGAAUUUCUCUUCUUGCCCUUAGCCUCUCAUAAUAUUUUCAUACUAAUAAUAGUCAUAAAUAAUAUUCCUAACAACUUGUACAUUAAUAUAAUUUUUGAAAAUAGUCUCGCCCUUAACUUUCCACGACGACUUUAAAAUAUUCAAACGUACAAAAUACGGGCUAUAACACUUAUAGCCCUUACUUGCUUACAAGAUACAAUUGUCACAUUAAUGUCGAGGUCUGCUCUGGAGUAAAAGCAAUAAAGUAUCUUUACAAGUAUAUAGAUAAAGGUCAUGAUAGGUGUGUCGUUUAUGUUGAGUCUGAUAAUGGAGCAAAAGUAAUUGAUGAGAUACAAACUUUCCAAGGUGCCCGGUGGGCUUCCCCUCCCUAAGCUCUUUGGAGAAUUUAUGAAUUCAACUUGAGUGAAAUGCAACCUCCAGUCAUCAGCCUACAACUACAUCUCCCUGGAAAACACUCAGUGUUUUAUUGGAAGAAGCAAAAUUUGCAAAACAUUAUCCCGUGGGAUAGCGUCAGGCAAACCAUGAUGAUCGAGUAUUUCAAGAUGUGCUCCAAAGACCUUGAAGCAUGUACAUACCUUUAUAGAGAAUUCCCUAAGUACUUGUGUGGAAUCCACAGGGAAAGGCUUGGACAAAAAGAAAAACUAGAUCUAUAAUUGGUCGCAUUGCAACUGGUAAGGCAUAUAGUACCACUAUGUACCUUUAUACACAACAUCUACCAUUAAACUACUUUAUUAACAUUCAUUACAUACUGCAGCUAAUCCUAAGAAAGGCGAAAGGUAUUAUGAGCGGUUAUUAUUAAACCAUGUAAGAGGACCAUUAUCAUUUAAGGACUUACUCACUAUCAGUGGAAGGUAAUGUCAGACCUUUAAAGAAGCAGCCAGAGAAAGAGGGUUAUUAGAAUCGGACAACAACAUAUCAGAAUGCUUGGGAGAGGCUGUUCUAUUCAAAAUGCCAUCAGCCCUACGUGUAGAGAAAUAUAGCACAAGAAAAGUAAAUCGGAGAAACCUUCUGCUAGCCCAAGAUCGUUACUAAGAUUGGAAGAUUCAACUAAAGAAGAGGAAGUUAUGAAAAGGAGAAUUUGGUUGAAGAAGACUUUAUUGAAUUGGCUUGAAUGACUUACAAUUAGGUUUGGCUUGGGUUACAAAUGCCUAAUGUCACUCCUAUUUAUACUUGUCUAGGGAUGCUUCUAGAUAUUAUUCUAGAUAUAUCCAUAAGAAAAAUCUAAUCAUCUUUAUCUCCUACCACUACUCUAGAAUAUCUAGAUUUUUCUUUAGGAUAAUUAUCCAAGAUCCUACACUAGACUAUUCUAGAUAAUUCUAUCCUCAACUAUAAAUAUCUAAUUGUCUAGAAUUUCUAGACAUUUCCUAAUACAAUAUCUAUCAAAGAUAUUACAUUAUAACUUUC
Long non-coding RNA from Lycium barbarum (goji berry), 1990 nucleotides. RefSeq lists it as uncharacterized. Lineage: Eukaryota; Viridiplantae; Streptophyta; Magnoliopsida; Solanales; Solanaceae. The transcript has 2 exons. The record is from RefSeq and is a predicted model, not a curated record.